AUGCCCAUUUUGGCAGCAUAUAUUCUAAAACUGGAACAAUACAGAGAAGAUUAGCAUGGCCCUUGAGCAAGAAUGACAUGCAAAUUCCUGAAGUAUUAGGAAAAUUU
This 107-nucleotide small nuclear RNA is filed under the name Salvator merianae (Argentine black and white tegu). The record is from RNAcentral. Lineage: Eukaryota; Metazoa; Chordata; Lepidosauria; Squamata; Teiidae.